RNAcentral lists this long non-coding RNA (1251 nucleotides) under Hordeum vulgare. RNAcentral's name for it is "long non-coding RNA (HVUL_LNC013921)". Lineage: Eukaryota; Viridiplantae; Streptophyta; Magnoliopsida; Poales; Poaceae. The record is from RNAcentral.
UGGUGCACCAUACAGAUACAUGAGAAGAUGUAUAAUGUAUUGUGGUCGCCAUAUUGAUUGUAUAAGAAUUCAGUACGGUAGUUUGGCUCAAAUGAAAAUUCUUCUAAGUCAAAUGGCGAACAUCGUGCUUAUACAUUGAAACUUGAAUCUGGCCAACUAAGCUAAAUAGCUAAAACAGUCUGAAAGAAGGGCACAGUUCAGUUCAUUGCACUACAAACAUAGCGCGGUUCAAUCAUCAGUAGAUCAAGACCGGAUCAAAGUUUGCCUAACUAGCUUCAGUGUAGCAUCACUGUAAUGAUUGAAUAAGCAGCAACCUAAUUUAGAUUGUGAUGCCCUUGUUGACUUGACGAUAGCUGAGUCAUACAAGAAAUCAGGAUACGAGAGAUUACUAAACAAAUAAGAUGGCACUAUAGUAGCAACCAAAUCUGACUGGACAAAUGGUAUGGCUUCAGUACAAGCACUGUUAUAACCAUAAACCUGAGGUCAUUAUGCAGGUGGGUUGGAGCCCAGCAGCUGACGCUCUCAGUCGCACCUUACAGUCCUGAUCCUGUAACUGCGGUGCCUAACAGCCAAGUUAACUACUUGACUUGCUUUAUAAAACCUCCAAAACCUGAUUCUCAGGCUCCCAUAUUUGGUCAGGGUGCGUAACUGGUGCCUACUGUGUCCUGGAACCAGUGUUUGGUUGGGAUGAAAACUGAAAAUCGAAAUGCCAGACAUGUAACUCCUCCACCCCCCAAAUUAUUUCACGCCACCACGUUAUCAUAAGCGUGUCAGGCCCUAGCCCGACCCCACGGCCACUCCCCCAAAUUGCAAUCCCAUCUCCUGAAAUCUGAAGCCCAAAUGGACAGCCGGCGACCGCCAUUACCACCUAGGCGACGUGAUCUGCGGCUUAAGCUACGAUUAAGGGGACUACAUGAACCGACAUUGCUUCCAACCAAACAUCCAUCGAAAUCAAACAGAGCAUCGCUCUCCGCGCGUUCACGGAAACAGAAAUUUCGAUAAAUCGCUAGGAAUCGUGCGACCCAGGAGGAGGAGGAAGGUAAAAUUAUCGGUACCUCUGACGCGUAGGAGGGGAAUUAGGGCGGAACGACCCCGCGGGUUGGUCUGAUCGGACGGGAUCGAGGAACCCUAGAGUUUGGGUUGGGGCUGGCCCGCCGCCGCCGCCGCCUCGUCGCGUCGCUUCGAUCCCCACGCUUGCUCGAGACGGAGGGGAAAAUUUGGCGGCAGGACGAGGACGCAGGCGAGGCUGGU